AAACUUUCAACAACGGAUCUCUUGGUUUUGGCAUCGAUGAAGAACGCAGCGAAAUGCGAUAAGUAAUGUGAAUUGCAGAAUUCAGUGAAUCAUCGAAUCUUUGAACGCACAUUGCGCCCCUCGGUAUUCCGGGGGGCAUGCCUGUUCGAGCGUCAUUU
RNAcentral lists this ribosomal RNA (158 nucleotides) under fungal sp. TRN286. RNAcentral's name for it is "5.8S ribosomal RNA". It matches the Rfam family "5.8S ribosomal RNA". From Rfam's summary of the family: 5.8S ribosomal RNA (5.8S rRNA) is a component of the large subunit of the eukaryotic ribosome. It is transcribed by RNA polymerase I as part of the 45S precursor that also contains 18S and 28S rRNA. Functionally, it is thought that 5.8S rRNA may be involved in ribosome translocation. Lineage: Eukaryota; Fungi. The record is from RNAcentral.